This 241-nucleotide long non-coding RNA is filed under the name Homo sapiens (human). RNAcentral describes it as "HSALNT0280562". The record is from RNAcentral. Lineage: Eukaryota; Metazoa; Chordata; Mammalia; Primates; Hominidae.
CCUCUGGGACUGGAACACAUUCCUCUCUGUCCGUGGCUGCAGAGAUCACCAUGGGUCAGCAGUCAACCUAGGUCUUCCACCAGCUCUUCCCAUGGCCUUUGUCCCGGUUUGCCUUGUGUUACAGUUUUGUGGGUAAUUACCCAAGGCACAGGGCACUGGCUCUGUCUUAUCCUUGUUUCCCUUAACACCACCUGGCUCAAUGCCCCGACCUGGAUCAGAGCUGGUGUGCAGUCAACAGUAG